This 1359-nucleotide long non-coding RNA is filed under the name Citrus x clementina. Its description in RNAcentral is "Citrus clementina (C. clementina) long non-coding RNA (CCLE_LNC004574)". Lineage: Eukaryota; Viridiplantae; Streptophyta; Magnoliopsida; Sapindales; Rutaceae. The record is from RNAcentral.
UUUAUCAUCUAACUUGAAAUAUGUCAAACUUUAAGUGGCAAAAUAAAAUUAUUCUCGUUAACCCCACAGAACUGUUAGUUAAGUUAGGUGCAUUCUCGUACUUUUUUAAGUCAACAUCAGUUAAUUGUUAAAAAUAAUGGUUUUAGGAGAUAGAUUGAAAUUUUCAUACUUUUAAAGGAUAAGUUGAAGUGUGUUAAUUUAAUAAGGGAGUGGGAUGAAAUUUACGCUUUAAGAUCUUCUUAGUUGAUGAAAUCAGAGUGCUAUAUGCUUCGUAAAAAAGGCACUCAAUUUUUACUUUUAGACAGAAAAUAAAGACAUUGGUAACCAAAAUCAUGCUUAUGUAAUUAAGCAACCAUUACUUGGAGUUAUGUUCAAUUAAAAAUAGUAUCCAUCAAGGAUAAAUCUUAGCCACGCCUAAAGUGAUCGUAUGGAAUUAAUUAGUUAACCUAAACUCAACCAUACGCCCCGAAAUUGCUGUAAUGGAGUAAUUGUAAGUAUCACGAAGGUUAACUAACUCAAUUUUUAGGUCCUUCCUUUAUUAGAAUAUACUAUCUAUAUAAGAAUUUCAACUAAUAAGAGAUUAUACUUCUUCCAAUUUGUUGAUGAAGAAAUCUAUUCAGUAAUGUUGUGACCAAGUGUCUAUACCAACACUUCAAUUUGUAUUAAUGGAAACAACAUGAGCUUGCACUUCUUUUACUCGAGCAAAUACUUGUGAUCACGUGUACCUCCUACGAAACUCACUUGUACCCACAAAGAACAGUUAGGGGGGCGAUGUAUGUUUUUUCGGCAUGAAUUCUUCGAUGCUCAAGUAAGGAAUCAAGUCUUUUUCGGAAAAAAAAAAAAAAAAAAACUUGUGCCAUGACUCACGUGGCUUAAUUCUAAUAAUUUCUUUUUUCUUUAAACAACAAAACUUUUUGGUGGAAACUAAAGAAAAUUGGGGAAAUAUUAGACAGAAAAAUGAUAGAGAAAAGGAAAAUUGGUGGUGGAGAGAGAAACAUAUUCACCUAGUUUGAAGUUUCAGGGGUUUUACAGAGCUCCGAAACCCACGACCUUGGAUUAAGGAAAUAGUUGUUAAUGGAUCGGGAUCGUGCCCUAAUUUUUCAGAGGAGAUUUGCAAGUUAACUCUUGAUCGAGUCUCCGAGUUGACUUGGUUCGAGCCUCUUAUCGCAUGAUUCUUACACUGUCACAUUUACCAAGCAACCUGCCCACUUCUUGAUACCUCAAGCAAACUGUUUGGGAGAUCUAUUAGAUCCACAUCCCGAGGAAGCUCUCAGCUGUUUCUAAUGCUGAGGAGAGCAUGGAUUGCCUGAAAUGGUCUCCAAUCAUGCUCCCUCUUUUAUCCCUCUAACACAAUUAAAG